This 888-nucleotide ribosomal RNA is filed under the name uncultured bacterium. Its description in RNAcentral is "bacterial SSU rRNA". It matches the Rfam family "Bacterial small subunit ribosomal RNA", at positions 8 to 912 of the family's 1533-position model. The record is from RNAcentral.
AGAGUUUGAUCCUGGCUCAGGAUGAACGCUGGCGGCGUGCCUAAUACAUGCAAGUCGAACGGUGUAUAUGAGCAAUCGUAUACAUAGUGGCGAACGGGUGAGUAACGCGUUGGUGACCUGCCCUAAAGCGGGGGACAACAGCUCGAAAGGGCUGCUAAUACCCCAUACAGUUGUGAGAGAUUAGAAACUUGCAACGAAAGGAGUAAUCCACUUUAGGAGGGGCCUGCGUCCCAUCAGCUAGUUGGUAGGGUAACGGCCUACCAAGGCGUAGACGGGUAGGGGACCUGAGAGGGUGGCCCCCCACAAUGGAACUGAAACACGGUCCAUACACCUACGGGUGGCAGCAGUAGGGAAUAUUGCACCAUGGGCGAAAGCCUGAUGCAGCAACGCCGCGUGAGUGAUGAAGGCCUUCGGGUCGUAAAACUCUUUUCAAGGGAAAGAGGAAGGACGGUACCCUUGGAAUAAGCAUCGGCUAACUACGUGCCAGCAGCCGCGGUAACACGUAGGAUGCAAGCGUUAUUCGGAUUUACUGGGCGUAAAGCGCGUGUAGGCGGUUAGGAGAGUUGGAUGUGAAAGCUCCCGGCUUAACUGGGAGAGGUCGUUCAAAACUUCCUGACUAGAGUUUGGUAGAGGAAAAUGGAAUUCCGGGUGUAGUGGUGAAAUGCGUAGAUAUCCGGAGGAACACCAGUGGCGAAAGCGAUUUUCUGGACCGAUACUGACGCUCAGACGCGAAAGCUAGGGUAGCAAACGGGAUUAGAGACCCCGGUAGUCCUAGCUGUAAACGAUGUAGACUUGGCGUUGGGAGAGUAAAAUCAUCCAGUGCCGAAGCAAACGCGAUAAGUCUACCGCCUGGGGAGUACGGCCGCAAGGUUAAAACUCAAGGAAUUG